This 253-nucleotide ribosomal RNA is filed under the name uncultured bacterium. Its description in RNAcentral is "partial 16S ribosomal RNA". It matches the Rfam family "Bacterial small subunit ribosomal RNA", at positions 524 to 776 of the family's 1533-position model. The record is from RNAcentral.
UACAGAGGGUGCAAGCGUUAAUCGGAAUUACUGGGCGUAAAGAGCACGUAGGUGGUUAUUUAAGUCGGGUGUGAAAUUUCUGGGCUUAACCUGGAAUGGUCAUUCGAAACUGAAUAGCUAGAGUACAGUAGAGGAAAGUGGAAUUUCCGGUGUAGCGGUGAAAUGCGUAGAUAUCGGAAGGAACACCAGUGGCGAAGGCGGCUUUCUGGACUGAUACUGACACUGAGGUGCGAAAGCGUGGGGAGCGAACAGG